RNAcentral lists this long non-coding RNA (1528 nucleotides) under Diabrotica virgifera virgifera (western corn rootworm). RNAcentral describes it as "uncharacterized LOC126886019". Lineage: Eukaryota; Metazoa; Arthropoda; Insecta; Coleoptera; Chrysomelidae. The record is from RNAcentral.
UCGUUAAUUUUGCAUUCAAAGAAAAUAUGGUUCAAAUCUCUAAUCGAAACAUUAUCACAAAAACAGACUGAUGAAUUAACUAUUCCUAAUUUGUGCAGAUGUGCCUCAUAUUUUCCGUGUCGAGUUUUUAAUCUGACGAUAGUAGAAAUAUCUUGCUUUGGCAGGUUAUACUUAAAUAUGUAUUCAGGUGGCGGAGGAAGUUCUUGAUGUAAAGAAAAAUAUAAAUUUUUUGAUAUGCUUCCCUAACAACACACAACAUUCCAGGAAUGUACUACCAAAGUUCUAUCAAUAUUUGAAUGUCCUGGACAUUUAGGGAACAUUCGGUGAACAUCUGAUUAAAUUAUUCGUGGAAUGUUACCAUAAGACAUUCUGUGAACAUACUACCAAUGUUCCUUUUGUUAAUAUGUUCAUUUUCAAACUCACGGCGCAUGUAUUUGUGCAUGGUGCUUAGAGAGGGCAUCACGUGACUAAAAACGACCAAUGACCUCACUUCAGACUUCGGUGCUUCGGCCAUCUUGACAUGCAUCUUGGCCUUGGCCACCUUGCCGUGCGUGAUCGUUGUUUGUUUUUAUUUGUGCUUUUUAAGAAUAUUUUUUAAUUCGGAUACUUUUAUAAUAACUUUAAUAGUAUUAUUAAUAUAGUGCAUAAAAUCAGUUGGAGUAGCAGAAGCAAUGUAGAUAAAAAAUCUGCAGGAAUAAUGUUUCAAAGGUUAGUAUAUGCAAAUAUGUAAACAAAGGCAUGCCCCUAUUUCAGAAAAUAUCCAUUUAUUAUUUUAAUAAUUGCGAAUAAGCCACAAACUUGCUUAUUCCUAACAAAAAUAGUAAAUAGAGAUAAUAACAAACGGAUUAUUUGUAAAAUUAAAAUUUUUUUUGCGUUUUUGCUAAUGUAUGCGUUUAUAAACAGGAUGGUAGACCACACACUAUAAUAGUACCAACUAAUGAAUACACAGUAUGAAUAGUACAGUCGGUUCGCUAAACUUAGUCUCAGACACAACUGGCUAGUGAUUUUAGUAAAUAAUUUUGACAAUUUGGUAAAAUUGGCAAAAAAAUAACUAAAUAGUUAGUAAUUUUGGCAAAAAUGGCCAAAAACAAAAAAAUUACCUACUAAAAUCACUAGCCAGUUGUGGCUAGGGAAACGACUAUACUAAUAAACAAUUUCUAAGCUGCUUUUUAUAAUAUUUUCUUUCCAGAAGAUCCUGCGAAGAAGGCAUGAAGUAUUGAUCAGAUUUGUUAAUAGAGCAGUAUGUUCAAAACAUUUUUUAGAAAAAGAUAUUGACAGAACUUCACUUUCAACCGUGAACUUCACUUUCAACCGUUUGAGAGACUGUGCUGUUCCAAUAGCUUAUAUCACACAGAAUCAGCUGAGAGAAGUGGUCUACAAAAAACCAGGAAGGAAAUGGAAUAUGUGGCUAUGAAAGGCAAAAGAAAGGUUUACAAAGCAAAUGUGACACAUUUUUUAUAGGAAUAUCAGUAAAUUACAUUAAAAAAAUGUAUGAAAAAAUUUUUUGCAAUAAAAAUGUUUAUAUUUA